GUGCUGUCCGAGCUGAGAGGCCAACACUCCCCUUGAGGAGGAUGGAAGGGGCCCUUGGGCCCGACCACGCACAUUCGGUUAAGGUGCUGCCAACUCCGUGCCGCAGCUAACCAUCGUCUUCC
This is a small nuclear RNA of Suricata suricatta (meerkat), 122 nucleotides long. The record is from Ensembl. Lineage: Eukaryota; Metazoa; Chordata; Mammalia; Carnivora; Herpestidae.